This 270-nucleotide long non-coding RNA is filed under the name Homo sapiens (human). RNAcentral's name for it is "non-protein coding lnc-SLIT1-2:1". The record is from RNAcentral. Lineage: Eukaryota; Metazoa; Chordata; Mammalia; Primates; Hominidae.
AUGCCUAGAGAAAGGCUGAAGGGGAUGCUAAAGGAGAUAAUGCCAAGUUAAAGGACUAACCACAGAGAAGAUCUGCAAGGUUGUCUGCUAACCCUGCUCCUCCAAAGCCAGAGCCCAAGCUUCAAAAGGGCCCUGCAAAGGAGGGAGAGAAGGUACCCAAAGGGAAAAAGGAAAAAGCUGAUGCUGGCAAGGAGGUGAAUAACCCUGUAGAAAAUGGGAAAUGCCAAAUCAGACCAGGCACAGAAAGCUGAAGGUGCUGCAGAUGCCGAG